Molecule: RNA transcript, 1928 nt
Organism: Sarcophilus harrisii (Tasmanian devil)
Lineage: Eukaryota; Metazoa; Chordata; Mammalia; Dasyuromorphia; Dasyuridae
Exons: 5
Source: RefSeq, a predicted model, not a curated record
UCGUCAGAAGUUGCCAUGCCUGGAACCAUAAGAGGGGAAAAGGAUACAAUAAUCAACUGGAGUGAAAUCACCAUCAGACUUAAAAGAUGGCUGCAUCUUCUAAAUUCCUAAUUCCUUGGGACAAGGAAAGAAUUCCUUAGGCACUAUGCAAAGAAAAGAAGUACUUUCAGGGAAAAUGGUACUCUCAGGAGCAGCCCACUAAUCAUCAGACUUCAAGUCAGAGUUGAAAGAAUGCCAGCCUGAGAUGUUAUCCUAGAAGGAAGGGAUACAGAACCCAUAACUGAGACAAGAGACAUUGGAUUGCUGUCUUAAGGAGCAACCCCAAUUCAUUUCAGACAAAGCUCUUCCCAUUCCACAGAUUCCUAUUUUACUCUGGGAGGGGAACACCAGAAAUCAGGAAAUGGCAGCUGCACUUUUUACUACUUGGUCCCAGAUGCCAGUGACUUUUGAGGAUAUGGCCAUUUACCUUUCAAGGGAGGAGUGGAGGCAGCUGGAUCUUGUUCAGAGGGAUUUCUACCGAGAUAUUGUGCAAGAGAAAAAUGUCCUGGCCCUAGAAGCUGUAAAACAUGGAAAAAGUAGGGUUUAUUCCUCCAUUGGAAGGUGCUGGUGAUGCAAAGAUGUAUGGAACUGGAUUGGGAAGAGUCCAUGGGGAUGUCCCACAAGCCAUGGGACAGGAAGACAGGAGGGAGAGCUCAGAGGAAAGUCAGCAGCUUGAUCUCCUGAAGAAGAGCCAGAAGACACUGGUCCUAUUUGAUAAAGAUCUUUAAAAACUGAUGGAUAUUCUUGUUCUGAAGAAACCCUGCAUCCCUGAAAAAUAUUGCCAAAAGAGCAAUGGGGACGGCCCAGCCCUAGGAGGGGAGAAACUUGGACCAGAACCAGAACUCAUUGCUCCCCAGCUUAUCCUUCCCACUAAAAAAACAUACACAUGUGAAGACCCAAAUAUUGGCAAAGGGUUCAGCUGGCACUCUCAUCUGGUGAACCACCAGCGCAUUUAUACAGUCUGUGUUCAGACUGUGGCAAGUGCUUCAGCCGAAGCUCCCACCUCUUCCAGCACUGGAUCAUCCACACUGUCUGCUGGAAAAGCUUUAGCCAUCACUCCACACUGGUACAACACUAGCACAUCCACACUGAGGAGAAGCCUUAUUUGUGUGACCAAUGUGCCAAGUGCUUCACCCGGCGUUCAGACUUGGUGACCCAUCAGGGUACCCACACAAGUGCCAAGCCUCAUUGAUGCCCAGAAUGCAACAAGUGUUUCACCCAGAGCUCAGCCCUCAUCAGUGGACCCAUACGGAAGUCAAGCCCUACCCCUGUCCAGUGUGCGGCAAGCACUUCAGCCAGUGCUCAAACCUCACUGCUCACCAGUGUACCCAUACAGGGGAGAAGGCUUACGCUUGUAGUGAUUGUGGCAAGAGCUUCAGUCAUAGCUCCCACCUCACUGCACACCAGCGAACUCAUCGUGGUGUCUGGCCCUAUCCCUGUCCCCUAUGCCGCAAGAGCUUUAGCCGGCAUUCUAAUCUUCUUCGACAUUAGAAGAUUCACACAGUUCCCAAGGCCUGGCUGUGCUGGUGUUGGAGACAAGGGGGAAUUCUCACCAACCCCAAACCUACUCCUCCCUAACAAACCAAGGUGUGAGAAUGGUGUGAGAAUAUGGACUCCAGAGCAAAUGCUGAUGAGCUUAUUCUCAGGAUAGGUCUAAUCCAAGGGCCAGAGGCAGCGAGAGAGGGAAAAGAUGAGAAAGAGGACAGCCACAUGGAAUCAGAAAGGGAGAGGGGUAGAUCAUUAUGGGGAUCAGGGUGGGAGUUGACAGAGAUGGGCUUGGGAAUAGGAAUGUGAAAGAGGAGCUAGGGCUAGAAAGAGUGGUAAAUCUUCUAAUUAAAAGUCUUUGAGGCAGCUAGGUGGUGCAAUGGAUAGAUGAAGUCAGGAGGACC